Molecule: long non-coding RNA, 1003 nt
Organism: Suricata suricatta (meerkat)
Lineage: Eukaryota; Metazoa; Chordata; Mammalia; Carnivora; Herpestidae
Exons: 3
Source: RefSeq, a predicted model, not a curated record
UGUAACUUCCUGGAGACAGCUAAAACUGCGGUCACCUCUUCCAGGAAAAACUAUAACGAACUUGGUCCUGGGGAAAUUUGCACCCAAGACAAGGGUUUUACUUAGAUGGAUUUUCCUGUUGUGCUUUCUUUAAAAAUCUGUUUGCCCUUUGCUAAUGUAGAUCCCUGCAGGCGGCUCACAGAAGCCCAGGGCCUGCAGGCUGCCGGCCGCCUCAUCGGACCCGUGCAAGUAGAUUACAGCUGGGGUUUUGUGAAGAUUGACAGAGGCAAACUGAAGAGUGUGGUGAUGCGUGGGAAACUACAGGUUUCCUGCUGCCUCCGGUGUUUGCCGGAGCCCAUUCUGAGAUGGCAAGCCUGCCUGUGAGCGUGAGCGGAGUCGUAGAGCUGGACAGCCCGCCAGCUCCCCCGUCACCAUUCUCUGUGUCACGUCAGGGACCUCAGUGACCCAGUCAGAGUUGUCAGCGUGGGGUUGGGGUCCUGUGGGUCCCAGCUACCCUCACUGGUGUCUCCCAGUCUGUAAGGUGGUGGGAACAACGCUUGAAUGUGCCUCCAGUCCACUGUGGGGUGAAUAAAAUACUGUCCGCAGGAUACUUACUAAACGGCUUACUGUUUUUAUAGUCACGUCCUCAGGGCUUCUAGAUACACGGGGUCUUUGUUCCUGCACUUGCAUCUUUGAGCCUCUGUGUGUGUUGUGCUGACACCCGACUGUCAGCCUUGCCUUGGCAUCAGGUCGCCCUCCUGGGCCUUUCUGCGGCUUUGAAUCAGCAGUCAGCUAGGAAAGCACAUAAUAGAACUUGUUAGCAGGGUCUAAAAUUAAAGCACUUUUCUUUUAUAGGGGCUGAGAGUCUUUGUAAUCUCAAUUGAUGUGAGAUUUUUUAUUUUUGUCACUAUGGGGCUUGAAAAAAACGUAGAAGUCAAUGUGGAUAUGCUUAUUCUUUCAAGCAGCACAGGCGUAUAAAAUCUAAGAAAGAAUCGGGUCCCGCCCUUCCUCCCCUCCCAGUAAU